AGAGAAAGAAAGACCACAGACCUGGAGCUUCCUCCAGUGCCGUGGCACUCCCACAUGGUGCUGGGGUUUGAACCACAACCAUAUACAUGGCAAGACCUGCACCUAACCAGAUUUAUUUAUUUUCUGAGAGAAAGAGACCAGAGUACUUCCCAGCUCAGGCAUUAUGGCAACACCAGGGAUUGAACUUGUGCCCUCUGGAACCUCAGAUGUGUCAAAAAGUAGAAUCUCACUACCAUUAUAAGAUGAAUUUCUAUUCCAUAGGAGGAUUAUUGCUGGGGCUUAGUGCCUGCACCAUGAAUCUACUGCUCCUAGAGUGGAUUUUCCCCCCUUUUGUUGCCCUUGUUGUUGUAGCCCUGUUGCGGUUAUUAUUGUUGUUGUUGAUGUCAUUCGUUGUUGGACAGGACAGAGAGAAUUGGAGAGAGGAGGGGAAGACAGAGAGGGGGAGAGAAAGACAGACACCUGAAUACCUGCUUCACCGCCUGUGAAGCAACUCCCCUGCAGGUGGGGAGCCACGUGCGCUUAACCCACUGCACUACCGCCCGACUUCCUGUCUUUUGUUUUUUAAGGAAAUAUUCACUUGGGUGCUUUUUAUUUAUAAAGCUGACCUUUGUGACCAAAUCCUCUGGAGGAAUCACCCUGUUUAGGUGUUGGAACUUUUUUUUAAAAGAUUUUAUUUAUUCAUGAGAAAUGAUAGAAGGAGAAAGAGAAAAAAAUCACAUCACUCUGGUAUAUGUGUUGCCAGGGACUGAACUUGGAAGCUCAUGC
Long non-coding RNA from Erinaceus europaeus (western European hedgehog), 765 nucleotides. RefSeq lists it as uncharacterized. Lineage: Eukaryota; Metazoa; Chordata; Mammalia; Eulipotyphla; Erinaceidae. The transcript is spliced from 4 exons. The record is from RefSeq and is a predicted model, not a curated record.